AUUGAACGCUGGCGGCAGGCCUAACACAUGCAAGUCGAACGAGUGGCGGACGGGUGAGUAAUGUCUGGGAAACUGCCUGAUGGAGGGGGAUAACUACUGGAAACGGUAGCUAAUACCGCAUACCAUUAGCUGUGCCCAGAUGGGAUUAGCUAGUAGGUGGGGUAACGGCUCACCUAGGCGACGAUCCCUAGCUGGUCUGAGAGGAUGAUCAGCCACACUGUAACUGAGCCACGGUCCAGAAUCCUACGGGAGGCAGCAGUGGGGAAUAUUACACAAUGGGCGCAAGCCUGAUGCAGCCAUGCCGCGUGUGUGAAGAAGGCUUUCGGGUUGUAAAAUACUUUCAUUGGGGAGGCGUUACCCGCAGAAGAAGCACCGGCUAACUCCGUGCCAGCAGCCGCGGUAAUAC
RNAcentral lists this ribosomal RNA (406 nucleotides) under uncultured bacterium. Its description in RNAcentral is "partial 16S ribosomal RNA". It matches the Rfam family "Bacterial small subunit ribosomal RNA", at positions 30 to 526 of the family's 1533-position model. The record is from RNAcentral.